GGAAGGGGGCGGCGGGGCUGCCGCAGCCGUAGCCGCCGUCGCUACGAGAGGGCCGGCCUUGGGAGCAGCUCUCCGGCUAGGCGGAACGCAGAGACCACCGGCCUCUGCUGCCGCCGCCGCCGUGCAGCCACUCGUUGGAGCCCGUGGUGCGGCCCAUGAUGGCGGAGGGGUGGUGAGUGCUGCGGUCCGAGAAGAUGAAGAAGAAGCUUAGGUCCGUCGUGUUCUUCCUCCUGGGGUACCACUAGACCGA
Molecule: ribosomal RNA, 250 nt
Filed under: Triticum aestivum (bread wheat)
Lineage: Eukaryota; Viridiplantae; Streptophyta; Magnoliopsida; Poales; Poaceae
Description: partial small subunit ribosomal RNA
Source: RNAcentral